AUCGGACAUGGGAUAACGGAAGAGGGCGUCGGCUCGACUUCGUCGGUUCCUCGGGCCGAGGCACGUACGGUGAAUAGGGACGGUCGGGGCCGCCCGUACCGGGUCGUGAGAGGUGAAAUUCUAGGAUCGACCCGAGACGAACUGCCGCGAAAGCAUUCGGCAAGGACGCUUUUCAUUAAUCAAGAACGAAAGUCGGGGGAUCGAAGACGAUCAGAUACCGUCGUAGUCCCGACCGUAAACGAUGCCGGGCCCCUCCCGCGAGAAAUCAGGAGUAUUCGGGUUCCGGGGGGAGUAUGGUCGCAAGGCCGAAACUUAAAGGAAUUGACGGAAGGGCACCACCAGGAGUGGAAUCUGCGGCUUAAUUUGACUCAACGCGGGAAAACUCACCAGGUCAGGACACGGUAAGGAUUGACGGACUGAAGGCUCUUUCUCGAUUCCGUGGAAAGUGGUGCAUGGCCGUUUUUGGUUGGUGGAUCGAUCCGUCUGGUUAAUUCCGUUAACGAACGUAGACCUCGGCACUCCGAAUAGCGCGGCGGACGUCGCGGCCUCCGGGCCGUCUUCCGCACGAGCUUCUUAGAGGGACCGU
This 586-nucleotide ribosomal RNA is filed under the name uncultured eukaryote. RNAcentral describes it as "SSU rRNA". It matches the Rfam family "Eukaryotic small subunit ribosomal RNA", at positions 802 to 1423 of the family's 1831-position model. The record is from RNAcentral.